AUUGAACGCUGGCGGCAGGCCUAACACAUGCAAGUCGAACGAGUGGCGGACGGGUGAGUAAUGUCUGGGAAACUGCCUGAUCGAGGGGGAUAACUACUGGAAACGGUAGCUAAUACUGCAUACACUCAGAUCUGGCCAUAUGGGAUGAGGUUGUGGGUGGGGUAACGGCUCACCAAGGCGACGAUCCCCAGCUGGUCUGAGAGGAUGACCGGCCACACUGUAACUGAGACACGGUCCAGACUCCUACGGGAGGCAGCAGUGGGGAAUAUUGCACAAUGGGCGCAAGCCUGAUGCAGCCAUGCCGCGUGUAUGAAGAAGGCCUUCGGGUUGUAAAGUACUUUCAGCGGGGAGGCGUUACCCGCAGAAGAAGCACCGGCUAACUCCGUGCCAGCAGCCGCGGUAAUAC
RNAcentral lists this ribosomal RNA (406 nucleotides) under uncultured bacterium. RNAcentral's name for it is "partial 16S ribosomal RNA". It matches the Rfam family "Bacterial small subunit ribosomal RNA", at positions 30 to 526 of the family's 1533-position model. The record is from RNAcentral.